UGGGGAAUAUUGCACAAUGGGCGCAAGCCUGAUGCAGCGACGCCGCGUGAGGGAUGACGGCCUUCGGGUUGUAAACCUCUGUUAGCAUCGAAGAAGCGAAAGUGACGGUAGGUGCAGAGAAAGCGCCGGCUAACUACGUGCCAGCAGCCGCGGUAAUACGUAGGGCGCGAGCGUUGUCCGGAAUUAUUGGGCGUAAAGAGCUUGUAGGCGGUUGGUCGCGUCUGNNUNUNUAUGCUGUGAAAGGCCGGGGCUUAACUCCGGUUUUGCAGUGGGUACGGGCUAACUAGAGUGCAGUAGGGGAGACUGGAAUUCCUGGUGUAGCGGUGGAAUGCACAGAUAUCAGGAGGAACACCGAUGGCGAAGGCAGGUCUCUGGGCUGUAACUGACGCUGAGAAGCGAAAGCAUGGGGAGCGAACAGGAUUAGAUACCCUGGUAGUCCAUGCCGUAAACGUUGGGCACUAGGUGUGGGGGACAUUCCACGUUUUCCGCGCCGUAGCUAACGCAUUAAGUGCCCCGCCUGGGGAGUACGGCCGCAAGGCUA
Molecule: ribosomal RNA, 541 nt
Filed under: uncultured bacterium
Lineage: Bacteria
Description: bacterial SSU rRNA
Rfam family: Bacterial small subunit ribosomal RNA
Source: RNAcentral